CCUCACUUUCGAUCAAGUUUUGCUCCAUGAGCUAAUGUGGAUGCAAAAAUCGGGUUCCUGUGUUGCAUACCUGUUGUGACGGAAAUUUGUGCCUAUUGUUGUCCCUUUCAACGCGGCAUCCUCUUUGGGUGCUCGGUUGGACUAGAUAGUGGGGCUUGUGUUCCACGGACAUCUCAUUUGAUUGUUCGGAUGGACGGCGAGUGCUUUACUUGUUCUCUCGGAUGCGGAACUUCUUGAUGGGUUUUGGGGUCAUCGGCCCUUGUUCCCAAUCUCAAGCGUUUAUCGCUUUACUGAAAUGACGCUCUUGACUUGUUUUUGACCGCGUGGAGCUCUCGGGCUUCACGAUGGAUCAUGCUUGGCGGACGUCGUGAAGGAAUGCUACCUGGUUG
RNAcentral lists this unclassified non-coding RNA (389 nucleotides) under Lenwebbia prominens. RNAcentral's name for it is "partial external transcribed spacer". The record is from RNAcentral. Lineage: Eukaryota; Viridiplantae; Streptophyta; Magnoliopsida; Myrtales; Myrtaceae.